AGAUUCGGGUUAGUACUUGUUUUUGGAUUUAGAUGCUCUAAACCAAUAUUGGUUCGAUUAUUUGAUGAAUAAUAGAAUUGAAUCUUUUUAUUUGACGGAUUUUAGAUGAUUAUGAUGGAUUGGCUUCGUGUUAUCGUGGGCUCCAUCCCUCGGUAGCAUGGCCGUAUUAUGUCUCGAAUUUGGGGCGUGACACCUUAACUCAUACGGCAAUCAGUGGUCAUUUGCCGACCAAAGAGCCCAAAAUAUCUUGCGAUGUAAUUCCGAUCUGAGGUACUCACGAUGACCACCGUAAUAGAUCAUUAUAGGACA
Molecule: long non-coding RNA, 309 nt
Filed under: Elaeis guineensis (African oil palm)
Lineage: Eukaryota; Viridiplantae; Streptophyta; Magnoliopsida; Arecales; Arecaceae
Description: long non-coding RNA (EGUI_LNC023231)
Source: RNAcentral